Molecule: transfer RNA, 77 nt
Filed under: Pseudomonadota bacterium
Lineage: Bacteria; Pseudomonadati; Pseudomonadota
Also listed under: 1 other name
Description: tRNA-Asp
Rfam family: tRNA
About the family: Transfer RNA (tRNA) molecules are approximately 80 nucleotides in length. Their secondary structure includes four short double-helical elements and three loops (D, anti-codon, and T loops).
Source: RNAcentral
GGGGGUGUAGCUCAGUUGGUUAGAGCGCAUGCCUGUCACGCAUGAGGCCGCGGGUUCGAGUCCCGUCACUCCCGCCA